AUUUUAUUGACCAAUGUAACCCCAAUAAGUUCAGUAAAAAAUAAAUUAAAAAAUAAAAUCUUGGUACUGUUGCCACAGUGAUAGUGACUGUCUGUCUCAUUAUCUAUCCACCAACAGUAAGAGAAGCUUUGCAGAGGAGAUAUUGUUUAACAGAUGGAGUGGUUUCUGUUGGACACUAAGUACUGCUUCAAAU
Eptesicus fuscus (big brown bat) is the source of this 193-nucleotide non-coding RNA. The record is from RefSeq and is a predicted model, not a curated record. Lineage: Eukaryota; Metazoa; Chordata; Mammalia; Chiroptera; Vespertilionidae.